CGGGACGUGGCGCAGCCUGGUAGCGCACCUGCUUUGGGAGCAGGGGGUCGCGAGUUCAAAUCUCGCCGUCCCGA
This 74-nucleotide transfer RNA is filed under the name Actinomycetes bacterium. RNAcentral's name for it is "tRNA-Pro". It matches the Rfam family "tRNA". Rfam says of the family: Transfer RNA (tRNA) molecules are approximately 80 nucleotides in length. Their secondary structure includes four short double-helical elements and three loops (D, anti-codon, and T loops). Further hydrogen bonds mediate the characteristic L-shaped molecular structure. tRNAs have two regions of fundamental functional importance: the anti-codon, which is responsible for specific mRNA codon recognition, and the 3' end, to which the tRNAs corresponding amino acid is attached (by aminoacyl-tRNA synthetases). tRNAs cope with the degeneracy of the genetic code in two manners: having more than one tRNA (with a specific anti-codon) for a particular amino acid; and 'wobble' base-pairing, i.e. permitting non-standard base-pairing at the 3rd anti-codon position. The record is from RNAcentral. RNAcentral also lists the same sequence under 5 other names. Lineage: Bacteria; Bacillati; Actinomycetota; Actinomycetes.